This 28-nucleotide non-coding RNA is filed under the name Cricetulus griseus (Chinese hamster). Lineage: Eukaryota; Metazoa; Chordata; Mammalia; Rodentia; Cricetidae. The record is from RNAcentral.
CAAAAAGGGGGAAUAGGCCAUGGUAGAA